Molecule: long non-coding RNA, 354 nt
Filed under: Cricetulus griseus (Chinese hamster)
Lineage: Eukaryota; Metazoa; Chordata; Mammalia; Rodentia; Cricetidae
Description: lncRNA (ENSCGRG00015031490.1)
Source: RNAcentral
GCCAGACUUGGGUCACCUGCCCAUUGCUGAAGCAAACACCAGCAAGGAGGAAUGGCUUACAAUCAUGACCUCUCUUGGAGCUUGUGAGUUCAGGCACGAAAAUUCAUAGAAGAUUCAGUGUGGCUGGAUUUAUGGAGAGAUCUUUGAUCCAUUUGCACUUAAGUUUUGUGCAUGGUGACAGCCAGAACUUCAAGUACAAUAUUGAAGAGAUAUGGAGAGAGUGGACAGCCUUGUCUUGUUCCUGAUUUUAGAGGAAACGCUUUGAGUUUCUCUCCAUUUAGUUUGAUGUUGGCUAUUGGUUUGGUGUAUAUUGCGUGAGUGAGGUAACCCAGUCACAAAAAGACAAGCAUGGUA